CCGCCGUCAGAUCACGCACCUGACUGUCUGCUGAAACGCUGCUAUCCGAUUUUUAUUUCUAUGUUCCAUCUCUGCAGCUCUCCAUCGUCUUGUCGAUUAUAGAACGUUUUACCUUCUAUCGUUGAUGAUUGCUAUUUUUAUCGCCGGCUCUCCGUAUGUUUACACCCAAGCGCCAAAGAAGAGGAACAAAUAAAUAGCAAUUAUAAGUUGGAGAUUCUUCUGGAAGAUCAAAUUAAACUCACCGGAUAAUCAAGGAAAGAAGGUAAAUUGUCAUUGAUAUAUCUGAUUAUAUAAUCAUAAGUCAUUUUUGGCAUUCAGAUUGGUAAAGUCUAGACCUGUAGACCUAAUCCAAAAUUCUUUUUGUUGGCUUAAAUAUGUAUAUGGCAGUUUCAGCCGUCCAAGCAGGCUGUAACCAGCAACAAGGAGAAGGAGAAAAUGAUAGAUUUACCAGCUAAAGGGACCGAUAUGCGGGAGUUGCCAUUGAGAUACCAUAGUAAGGGGGUUACUAUUGCCUCCCCACCAAGACCCACACCUCAAGUCCAUGAAAAUGCCAUGAUUUCCAAAUCUAAAGAUCAAUCAUCUACGGAUGUGAGGACAGUAAUCAAAAAACGAAAGAGGAGAAAUAAGCAGCAAAAUAUUGUUGUACUUGAACCUUCUUCUUGGAACAGGAUCUGUCCACAAGAUGUGGUUGACGCUGGAAUGCAUCUGAAUCCAGCAAAAAAGAAGCAUUCUGCUUGGUUCAGUUUAACUCCUUCCUGUGAUCAGUGAGCUAUAAAGAUCCCUUUUAAAUUUAAUCAUAUAGCUAAUAGUAUCUUCACCAUCUUAUCUUUUUUAUUUUCUUGUCUUUGAUUCCGUAGGAACAGAAAGAACACUCUGCAACUUCUAGUGGAACCAUACUUACAGAUAAUGUAAGUACAUCGGCCUUUUCAGUAUAAUGUUGUUUAAUGUUCAUAUAAUUCACCAGUUCAUUAGUUAAUAAAUUUUUGACAUUGGUCAUUGUAACUUGCAUGUACUGAUUAAAAACAAAUUAUUCUAGCAUGGAGGGGAACUGUAAUCCAGAUGUGUCUAUUCUCAUGAAGUAUAUCGCAUUGCAACUUAAGCAUGUUCGCCAACAGGAGGUAUCUUUUCUGAUUCAAUUAAUUGCAUAUAAGUUCGGUUCCGUUCAUCAAAGAAGUAUCGUUCUUUUCUCAUGAUCUCCACCGAGUGGAUUUUAGUUAUACGUUUUUAAACAUAUAUAAUUUAGUAAAUGUAAACUCCUUUUGAAGUGCCGAGGGGACAAAGUGCCUUGAAAUAUGCAGCUUUCAAUGUAUCAUGCACAAAUUGCUAUAAUGAACAAUAUUUCAUAGGCAAAGGAAAUUGUCCCCAUGUAAAUCUAAUAACUAAAAAACAUGAAACUGUUAGAGAGUUUGUUUUGCAUUUUUUAUGUGUUCUUGCAUAAACAUUGAACCAUGCGAUUCUUAACUACAUACAAUAACUUGAUUUUUGUAUGCCUAAAAAACAUCAGUUUUCGUUAGAGUUCAGUUGUCCGUUAAUUGUUCUUUUUCCAUGAAGAUUCAGCAAAUAUAGACUUUACUAAUAGAACAAGGACAUCACAGUCUCAUAGACAUGUAUUUGUUCUUCUUUUUCCUGUUUUUGUAUCACAAAAAUACUUUCUGUAAUGACUUGUAUUUUAAUAAUCUGAACAGGUUGGUAUCUUCUUGAAUGGAAAACUUCUUGCCCCGGAAAUGAAGCUACUUGAUGUGGUGAAACAGUGGAUGGCUAUUGUUGAUUCAGAGAGGAAAAUAACCAAGAUUGGAAGUUCUGCUGAGAACUUCUGUGUGAAGCUGACUUAUGCUUGAAGAGAAUAGACAAAAGUAUGCAUUUAUAAUAAAAUCCAACAAAGCUUUGUUCCUUAAUUGUGCCAUUUAACCGAUUGACUUUUACAAUUUCUUGGUUAAUGCUGAUCGAAUGAAUUAAUUAGUUGGUUCCAUAGUGAUUAUUAGACUUUUAAAACUAAUAAUGGUUACAUUGUUUUUGAGUAACCAACUAGCAAUGAUCUUUGAAAAUAACUUACAUCGGAGUUAGGGCUCAUUGACAAGUUCUAAAUUUUUAAGAUUUGAAUUUAUAAAAGGUCUGAAUUUCUAAGAGUCUAAAUUUUGAAGAUCUGAAUUUUAAAAUGUUGUUUAGUUGAAACAUCUUAAUUGUUGUGCAGAAUGAUAAAAAUGAUCAUUUCCUUAUUUUUUAUGUAUUAUUUUUUAUAAAAUAACUGACUAAACUUAUUAAAUAACUAUAUCAAAGAUAUAAACACAAUAAAAAAAUCAAAACUAAACAUACAAUAACUUAUUCAUAACAUAUCAUAAUCAUAAACUUCUCUCCUAAGCAUUUGCUAGUAAAUUCCACAGCUAGAAAGGACAAAGUCAGAUAAAUACAAACACAGUUUAAUUUCAAUUGCAAUUUGGUUGUAACGAGCCAAAAAUAUCGCUAAAAUUUCAUUUUUAAAACACCCAAAAAGAUACAACCAAAUGUUCCAAAACCAACCACAAUAUAAAUAUCGUCAACAUCAGAGUAAAUUCAAAUAACAAUGAGGAAUAAAAAUCAAGGGGAUGUUGUGCGAUCACGAUAGACCUUUCCCUUUGGAACCAGAGGAACCUGAAAUGUUUUGACCACACAACUGUAAGCACAAAGUUUAGGUAGUCUAUCAAAAUACCACAUACCAUACGUAACCUCGAAUCCUGCCCACAUAUUUGGCCCCACCAAUCAUAACGAGCCCCGCAUAGCAUACAUACGGGUCGUACCCAACAUACAAAUGAGCCCGUCCAACAUACAUGCAAGAGUCACAAAGACAGCUAGCAUCUUACACAGUAUAGUGAGAAGACUCACCUCUCUCACAAAGUCAUACAAAUCCCAGCUUAACCUCACGAAAUAGGUGUUACAACCCACUUAUCGAAUCACACAAGGUCACACCUUAGUCUACACUUUAGAACUAGCAAUUUGACCAUAAGUCAACAGGGUCAAAAAGUCAACGAUCAAUGUUCUUAGACAAUAUAUACCUUCUAUAUUUUUGUAUUUGAUUUUAUCCUUUCAAUGUAUAUCCUUUCCUUAUUUACAGGAAUGGUUCUCUAUUCGUAAUUGAUUUUGUAUAAUGAGAAGAAUCAAUAGAGAAUACCAUUCUUUAUGGUAUCAGAGCCUUGCCCUAGCCCUAGCCAUCGCUGCCCUCUUCUUCUCCAACAUCCGUCUCAUAAAACAUUGUAGCACCAGGCGAAUCUUCUGAUUCUUGCAUGAAACUAACCACCCGACAUUCACUGUCACUAACAUUAAGAAUGGCGUCCCUCUCAUUCUGAAUCAAACCGACGAUCAAUAUGCUUCGUGGGUACUGUUUCACAUCCACACAUGUGCUUACAAUCUUCUUGAUCACAUUGAUCCGAACACUCCGCGGCCAGCAUGCAUAAACGAAGAAACAUGGAAUCGUCUUGAUGCUAUUGUAAAAUCAUGGAUUUACAACACCAUAUCCAUUAAGUUACUCCAAUCGAUCAUGAAACUCAAUGCAGCUGCUCGUCUGCUUUGGACCCGUCUUUAGGAAAUUUACCAAGACAACAAAACUACCAGGGUUGUUUAUCUCAAAGAACAGUUCAAUAAAAUUCGCCUCUCUGAGUUCUCCAACAUGUCGGAUUAUUGUGCUCGUCUCAAUAAUCUUUCAGAUCAGCUUCCCAAUCGUUGUAUGAGUAGCUUAGAUUUCCCAUCUCAAAAAAAUAUGUGAAGUGAUUGACCAAACGUAUUCGACAAUGAAAUUCAAUAUCUUUAGGCCAAAUUACAAUUGUUGCUUAAAGUUAUUUGUGGUUGAAUUUAUUUCUAUGAUAGGCUUGUACAAUUUUGACAAUCCUUAUAAAAAAAUGAUCUCUUGCACCAUUUGCUUUAUUGAUUACCUUGAUAAGUCGAAGUGGGAAAUACAUAUCUUAUACGAAGCUUCAUUCUGUUUCAAGGCCUAUAACAUCGUUGUGAUGGAUCGAUACUUAUCACAUAACUCUUGAAUAAAUGCACUCUAGAAUUCAUCAAUUAGCACCACCACUAAGUCAUUAAUUUCCUCCAACUCAAAACUUGUGCGUGUAUUGUUUAGACAAGUUUACAAUAAACUAGGUGGAUAUCUACAUGUUGCAUAUAAUAAAAGUAUGUAGUUACACUUUUGGUAAAUAUAUGCUACUGGAAAUAAUUAUGUUAUUGACACUAACAGUAAAUUGAUAAUUCUUAUACAAAAUUGAUACAUUAAAUUAUAACUAAUUUGAACGAUAAACAUCUAUUAGAAUCAUAUUAGUUACUCGCCUGAGGCCGCAACUUGCCUAUGAAUAAGUUACUUAUAUUUCUCAAUUUACUCUUAGUUUUAUCACUUAAGACAAAAAGUUAUUUGUCAUUUUGUUUAAUUCGAUUAUGAUGACCGCUUAGAAUAUUAAUUAUUAUUUGUAAGAUAAUAUAAUUUUAUCUAUAACUUUUUUUAUCCUUACCUAUUAUUAAUGGUCAUUUAUCUACAAUACUUAUCUGGAGAAUUUUUAAUUAAAAUAGUAAUACUUUUUUUUGAUAUUUUUAGUUAAUUUGACAUUUCAAUUUAGGUUUUUUAUAUGGGUUAAUGACCUAGAAAGGUAACGAACUUUGGUCUUUGUCCACAUUUAGGUAAUUGUGUUUUUUUUUUUCGUUCACAUUUGACUAUUGAACUUGUUUGGCUUGUUUAAAAUAGGGUAAUAUGAUCAAUAAUUAGGCCUGUUAAUCGGGUUACCCGAUCGGGUUUCGGGUUAAAUGGGUCGGGUUAGUCGGGUUUUUUUAGAAAAAAUAUUCACCCGAAACUUGACCCUAAUAAGAUACGGGUUAGUCGGGUUGAGGUUAAUCGGGUUUCGGGUAUGUAGGGUCGGGUUAAUCGGGUUAGUCGGGUUGAGGUUGAAAUAUAAGAUGAAUUUAUGUUGUGCUAUUUUAAUACAUAAUCCACAUGUAUAGGGACUUAAAUUGUAAAGUUGGUAUACUAAAUGAAUUUUUGGAGUUUCUUUUAUCAUAUUAGUAAUGUAAACAAUGAAUAAAAUUCGUAAAACUGUUACAACACAACCGUACUACAUUAAGAAGAGAGGAAAGUUAUGUCAUUUUAUACAUCUCUAUACAUAGUAAUUUUACUAUCUGGUUUGUUUAAAUAAGAAAUAUGUAUUAGUUGUAAAAUCUCAUGGGAUCUUGAAUUCAUGUCAUUCAACGCUGUAAAAAAAAAUGGUAAUAUAUUCUUAAUCGGGUUAUUCGGGUUGACUCGAAACCCGAAUUGUUUUGAAAAAAUCAACACUAAACCCGACCCUAAUAAUAAUUCGGGUUAGUCGGGUUAACCCGAAUAACCCGCUUAAGAGUUCUAACCUUAUUAAACCCGACCCUAAUUACCUUAUUCGGGUUCAGGUUGGGUCGGGUUGAUCGGGUUCGGGUUUUUUUGACACCCCUACCAGUAAUUACAGUAAUAUUACACUGUUAUGAACAGGUCCAACAAGUUUAUUAGUCAAAUGUGUAUAAAAAACAUGGUUACCUAAAUAUGGACAAAAACCAAAGUUUUUUACCGUUUUGGUAAUAUUGGACAGGAACUGUCUCAGUGACUGUGCCCUACGAAGUGGGAUCAAGCUCCUAUAGUCAGUGAACAAUUAGGUUAGGCUUAGUCUAACCCAGUACAGUCCUGACUAGUCAUGGGCUAGGAUAUCUUGCAAGGUCUUUAAAGCACAUACAACCUAGCCCCUUAAGCGUAUACAACUUAACCCUAACUAGUUGAGCAUAAAUUGGGUUGGCCUAAGACUUGACCAUCUCCUAAUACACAAAGAUCGGACAACCCAAUUUCAUGUAACAUCAAUGGAUAUUAUGAUUACUUGCACUUAACAUAAAGAACCCAAUAUUAUCAAAAUGGGUAAGGAACAUUGGUUUUUGUCCGUAUUUAGGUAACUAUGUUUUUUUCGUACAGAUUUGACCAGUAAACUUGUUUAACCUGUUCAUAAUAAGGUAAUAUUACUGCUAAUUACCAAUCAUAUUACCUUAUUUUGAACAAGUCAAACAAGUUUAAUGGUCAAAUGUGUAUGGAAAAAACAUAGUUACCUUAAUGUGAACAAAGACCAAAGUUCGUUACCUUUCUAGUUCAUUAACCCUUUUUAUAUUUAAAAAUUUAUUUUUAGUAACUAUGUAAAAAGAAAAAGAAUUUCAAUACACUUAAGUUUAUUUGAUAUUUUAAUUUAGCUUUUACACUUGAAAUAUUUAAAUUCUUUUUAAUUCUUUUUUGAAACCAAUAAUUCAUUUUUUAAGUAUAUUCGAUCCUUUUAUUUAAGUACUUUGUUUAAUAUGUAUAUUUAUAUCCAUAUGUUAAUUAUAUUAUGCUAAUAGUUCAAAAAACCAACCAAUUUUGGUUUAGAUUUUAUAUUUAACUUUAUAUUUAACAAAAGCAAUAAUUUAAAAAAUAUCUUUUAAUAAUUUUCUCUAAUUUAUUAAAGUUCCCAUUUGUAUUUUGAAUUUGAAAUUAUAUUUAAAUUAAGAAAUUAAUUAUAUUUGAUUAAUAACUUUAAAAUGUUAUCAUUAAAAGAUUAUAUCCAACUGAAAUUAUUAAAUUUAACAUAUUAGCUUUGAAAUUGGAAAAGUAAUAUUAUAGUUAGAAUAAUAAUUGAGUUUAAUGUAUUAUCUACUAUUUUUAUUUUUAAUUUCAAUCAUGAUCAUGGUUAAUUGAUAUCUAACCAUUGUUUGUAAGUUUAUACAAUAUAAGUUUUUCAUCGUUUGUAAGUUACCACAACUUAAUUUUUUGUAUUAGUUAUUUAAAAACCACUUAUUUUGAAAAAAUUAAAUUAUAAUAAAAAGUAAUUUUUUAUAUUUUUUAUUUAAUUUGUAUUUUCGUUUUACAUUUAAUAUGUAAACAUUCUUAAAUAUUUUGAAAAUAAUAUUUGAAAUACUUUCUAAGUUUUUAAAAUUUUGAUUUACUUAUUGGAUUUAAACUGACAUGUAAAUUAACAAACAAGUGCAUGCAUUAUAAUUGUCAUUUUAAAAUUCUACCAAUAAUAAAAUAAUAUUUUGCGUUGAAAAACAUAUUUUAAGUUAAUAGAUUAAUUAUAUUAUGUUUAAAAUUGAAAGGUCAUUGAUGCUUCUAAUGCAUGAUACAUUAGUAUAGUACGUAUGAUUUUUAACUAUUUUGCACGUCAUUGCUUUUGUUUAGUAGGUUGCCUUUUUUUCCCUUUGCAUUUUAUUUAGUUAUAAUUCUUUUUAUAUGUAAGCGAAAAUCUUGUCAGAGGCUUUGACAUGUAUAUGUUGUUGGAUCUGUUUGUGCUUGGAACACCUUUGCUCAUCUAAAAGGAAUUCUAGAUCUCGAGCAUGUGAGUUAUGAGCGUUUUGUAUUGAUUUCUAGGUUUGGGUUCUUGAGUUUGAAAGUCGAACACACAUAUGGGUUUAUGUUUGAAAUUUGUUCAGAUCUAACACACACACACACACUCGCGCACAAAUCUGAAAUCGUUUAUGAUGAACUCGUUUGAUCAUGUUCUUGAAGAUGUUUAAUUUGGGUUUAAGACUUUCUAGAGGAAAAACACAUAAAUCUAAGUUUUUUGGUAUUUUUGGCCGGAGACUUGCCGGAGCCUUCGGAAACUAGCUAAACCUCUGAUAGCAGGCNUUCGGAAACUAGCUAAACCUCUGAUAGCUAUCAGGCGAUAAAGAUGUUUUUUUUUAACAGUUCAACAAAUUCAAUGAAAAAAUAUAGACAAAAAAGAAAUCCAAUGACUAAACAUGUACAAAUCUAAAAAUAUAUUAUCCUUUUAAAUCAUUAUCUAUUUAUAAAAUUAUAACAAAAAAUAACUUACUAGCGUACAUGACAGCCCUAUCUUAGCUUCUAUGAAGAGUCAAAGACUAGAAGUCAUAUGGGCUUUCUGGUCAAUUACAUUGGGCUCCUUAAGAGAGUAUUGGUCUAGGGAUCGGUUAGUAUUUAACCCUAGUCGUUGACAUGAAAACCCUAUCCUAUCUUUUCCGUCGGAUCACACAUCUGACUGUCUGCUGAAAUCUCGCCAUCGCUUUUUUAUUUCUAUAUAUAUUCCAUCUCUGCCCCCAUAGUCUUCUCGAUUACCGAACAUUUUGCCUUCUUUUCUGAUUAUCUGGAUCUUCCAGAUGGUUGAAGAAUCUCAAAUUUCGGUUUUUCCAUUAUGAUUGCAAAUUGUUGGUCUGAUUCAGAGGGUCAACCACUUCAUGUAGACAAAUUGUUUUCCCACAAGAAUGUUAAGUCGCUUUUUUCUGUUUAUUUCUCCUCAUUGAUUUCUUGAUUUCUGUCCUCACUUUCAUAGAUGUUUUAUUUUUGGAUUUGGUGAAUAUCAUGGCAUUUUCAUGGACAUGAAGUAUGACUUUGAUGGUGAACUGAUAUUAAUCUUUAAUGGCAUAGACUCCCACAAAUCUUUCGUUUAACUGGUAACUCAUUAAUUUUCUCAUUCCUCCUUUCUCUUGUUGUUGGUUAUUGGACUAUUUAAGGAAAUUGUCAUUGGUAUAAUUUUGAGAUACUAUAUAUUCUUCAGAAUACAAUGACUAGAUCCCUGAAUCUAAUUAUAUAAUAGCUUCAUUUGUCCACACAAUCUAUAAACACCAACAAGGGGAAGAAGAAAGUUAAUCCGUUACCAGCGAAACUCAACGAUUUGUGUGUCUAUGUCAUUGAGAUACCAUACUAAAGGGUUAACUUUUGGUUCACCACCAAAGUCCCAAUUCCUGUUCAUUAAAAUGCCAUGAUAUACAUCAAAUCCAAAAAUAAAACAACUAUAAAAUAUAGGAUAGAAAACAAGAAACCAAACAUGAGAAAUAAACUGAAAAAUGUUGUUGAACUUUAUUUUCUUGUUGGAAAAUGAUUUGUCCACAAGAUGUGGUUGACUCUGGAAUACAUUUGAAUCCAGCAAAAAAGCAGCAUUUUCCUUGGUUCAGUUUAACUCCUUCCUGCGAUCAUUGUGCUAUAAAGCUUCCUUUUAAAUUUAAUCUUAUAGCUAAUAGUAUCUUCACUAUCUUAUCUUUGAACCUUUCUGUUUGGUUCAGUUUAAUUAACUCCUUCCGUGAUUAUUGAUUAUUGAGCUUUAAAGCUUCCCUUUAAAUUUAAAUGUAUAGCUAGUACUAUCUUUACUAUCUUAUCUUUAUAUUUUGUUGUCUUUGACUCUCUAGGAACAGAAAGAACAUUCUGCAACUACUAGUGGAACCAUACGUAAGUACAUCUGCAUUUUCAGUAUAACGAUUGUUUAUAUAAUGUCUGUUCAGUAGGAUAUAAAUUAUUGACAAUCUUUUUUCUGGUAUUUGUAAUUGCAUAUACUGAUUAACAAGUUAUUCUUAUAUGGAUAGGAAUUUUCAUCCAUAUGUGUCUGUUCUCAUGAAGUAUAUCGUGUUGCAAGUUAAGCAUGUUUGCCAACAGGAGGUAUGUUCUUUUUUCUAUGAUUCAGUUAACUAGAUAUAACUAUUGAUUUUGUUCAUCAAAGAAGUGUCGUUCUUUUCUCGUGAUCUCCACUGAGUUGAUUUUAGUUAGAGAUUUUUAAACAUAUAUAAUGUAGUAAAUGUAAACCCCUUUUGAAGUGAUGAGAGGAAAAAAUCCAUUGAAACAUGGAGCUUUCAGUGCAUGAUGCAGAAAUUGGUAUACUAAACACUAUUGCAUAGGCAGACGGAUAUUGUCCCCAUGUAAAUUUAAUAAAUAAAAAGCAUUAAACUGUUAAGAGAGUAUGUCUUGCUUUUCUUAAUUGUUCUUGCAUUAACAUUAAACCAUGCAACCUUUAACUACAUACCGCAACGUGAGUUUUGGUUGACUAAAAAAACAACAGUUUUGGUUAGACUUUGCCAAUAGAACAAGUACAUCUAAUGGCCAUGCGUAUGUAUUUGUUCUUUGUUUUGUGAUUUUGUUUUACAAAAAUAUUUCCUUUAAUGACUUAUAUUUUUAAUAAUCUGAACAGGUUGGUAUAUUCAUGAAUGGGAAUCUUCUUGCCCCAGAAAUGAANUGGAGCUUUCAGUGCAUGAUGCAGAAAUUGGUAUACUAAACACUAUUGCAUAGGCAGACGGAUAUUGUCCCCAUGUAAAUUUAAUAACUAAAAAGCAUUAAACUGUUAAGAGAGUAUGUCUUGCUUUUCUUAAUUGUUCUUGCAUUAACAUUAAACCAUGCAACCUUUAACUACAUACCGCAACGUGAGUUUUGCUUGACUAAAAAAACAACAGUUUUGGUUAGACUUUGCCAAUAGAACAAGUACAUCUAAUGGCCAUGCGUAUGUAUUUGUUCUUUGUUUUGUGAUUUUGUUUUACAAAAAUAUUUCCUUUAAUGACUUAUAUUUUUAAUAAUCUGAUCAGGUUGGUAUAUUCAUGAAUGGUAAUCUUCUUGCCCCAGAAAUGAAGCUCCUUGAUGUGGUGAAGCAAUGGAUGGCUAUUGUUGCUUCAGAGAGAAAAAUAACCAAAGGAUGUUCUUCCGAGAACUUCUGUGUGAUGCUCACUUUUGCUCGAAGAGAGUAGACAAGCAGUGGACAACUAUUUUUGGAAUCACCAGGAAAACAUGGCAAUUGAAAUUUGUUUCUAAUGCUUCAUAAGGGUUUUGAAAAAGGCUACAUAUUUAUCAUUAUAUGAUUGAUCUUGAUCUUUUUUCCAUGAGAUUAUUGAUUUUUCUGGCAAUUUCACAUUCAUACAUUAUUAGGAAAUCAGUUUUCAUCCUGGUUGCCGCCCGCGGUAAAAAAUAACCAUUAUUGAUGAAUGGUCACAAUAUGUUUGUACAAAUUUAGUGAUGAAUUCGCAAAAACUAUAUAACGUGCUGUAAUUACUUUUUUUGAAAUCAGCGACAAAUUUGAUACAAAAUAGCUAUGAAUUUACCCAUGUUGCUCAUCAAUUGAAAUAGUUUUCCAUACUCUAUCACUGACUGUCACUAUAUGUCUGUUGUUGAUCCAUCAUGAAGUUUCCGUUAAUAGUUCAUCGUAAAGUUUCCAUUACAAACUCUAUCCUGAUCUCAUAUCUAUAUAUAUAUAUNNNNNNNNNNNNNNNNNNNNNNNNNNNNNUCUUAUACACACAUACACACACACACACAUAUAUAUAUAUAUAUAUAUAUAUAUAAUUGGGAAGCAUAAUAGCAUGGGAUAGGCCUAGGCAUAUCUCAAGAUUUUUGGCUUGUUCAAGCUGCUAUUAUUGUGUUGCUAAGCGUACUCCAAUUGCAUAAAUGAUGAAUAUGCUAUAAAUAUUAUAUUUACAGAUAAAUACGGGGAAUAAAAGGGAAGAUAAUUUUAUUGUACAAAACAUAACAUAAAACUGUCUCAUCAUACAAAAGAAUAACAUAAUGGUUUUUAGGGAUAUAAAAUAUUUCUGACACGACAUGAAAAGGAUUUAUAUAACAUGAACACGACAAGACAGAAUGUCGAGUUUAUUCAUGAAAAAGAAUCAAUUAGAACACGACAAACACGGUAUGACAUGAAAGUUGUCUUGCUUGCUUGUUUUCUUUUUGUUUACACUUAGUGUAAACAACACAAUAGCAUAGGCUAGGUUUGACUUAACGGAUACCAACACAACAAUAGCCAAUAAAAUAUAAGCAACAAAAACCAUAAUAUAUAUGUAGUUCCACUUCUCAAGUUUGCUCCACUAAAUAAAAGUUCACUAAUAAUUUAGGAACUAAGUAAAAGGUUACUAAUAAUUUAGGAACUACAACAAGGAUACUAUAACAUAAACUUUUUUUCAACAUUAUAACCUAGUUCUCAUAAAGUAGUAGAACAUGAGACAUUUGUUGAGCUUAAACCAUGGAAGUGAAUAAAUGCUUUACGAUGCCAACUAUUUACGAAAUUUAUAAUGGUAAGUGCACCAUGUCUUUGCUUUCUUGGGUAGGCUAAAAAAUUUAUCUUAGAGGGGAAGCUUUUACUCUGAAUGCUAGGCCUUUUGGCUCUACAUAAAGUUUUUGUAGCUUAAUUAAAGUGAAGGUAUGGUGUUUAACAAAGAACAUGACAUAUAUCUAACUCUGGGUUUCUAAGUGCACAACUCUUGAGCACACGAUGACUUUUAUGUAAGAAUCAUGAGAAAUUGCUAACCCGCGAACCUAAGACAAGACUUGAUUCUACUCGGGGAGAUACUUUAAUAGCUUUAAAAGAUGCGUCAUGACCUUCGAUGCUUGAUGUUCUUUAAAAGUUGUGUUGUCCAAAGGUAACUCUUCUAGAAAUAUGUGACUCCAAAUGUUCAAUUACUUUAUCUACGAUCUCAAUAGUGUCUGCCAGAGCUUGGAGUAAGCUGCAGAAGACGAAUACGACAAGCUCAAUGGAAGGAAAAUAAAUUCAAAAGAAAACUGGCUGAAAGCCUUCGGUUGUUGUUGCACCAAUAAAAUAUUCUUUUUCGCAACUAAGAAAUUGUAAACAGGACUAAUCACUCCAUUAGUUUUGUGCUCCUAGCAGAUUUUAUCAAUAGUACUAGUCCAUCUAGGAUGUCCUGGUGAUUAUAUCAAAAAAAAUAAACUAUAUAAAGUAAUAAACCACUUGACUUUCAAUAUUUACGGGCUAUAGAGGGUUUCAUCAUCCAAAGAUCCGCAUGUCUGUCUUCGUGUCUUUUCAUAUAUAUAUAUAUAUAUAUAUAUAUAUGUGUGUGUGUGUGUGUGUGUGUGUAUGUAUGUAUAUGUAUCCAUAUAUACGUAUGUAUGUGUGUACGUAUGCAUGCAUGUAUGUAUGUAUGUAUGUAUGGAUGGAUGGACACACACAUUCAUAUACAGAUAUGUAUAUACAAACACACACAUGUAUAUAUAAAAUCUUAUUUUACAAAUUUAUAUAAAAUUAAACUAAGUUAGAGACCUGUAUAUUAUACGGGUUUGUAAAUUAAAAAAUCAAACUACAUUGAUAUAAUAAGAAAAUUUUAAAAUUUAAUACUAAAAUAUGGUGAAAUAUAGAAAAUAUUAAAGUUUAUAGAACUAUAAUGGUGAAUAGGUAUGAAGUAUGGCUUUCAAUGUAGAAUGUUAUUGUACUUUAAUACAUAAUUGAUAUCACAAAUACAUAUUUAUAAACUUAAGAAUAAAAGAAUAAAGAUGGAAUGUUGAAGAAAGAUUGGAGGAUAAGCAACUUCGAUGCUUGAAAUCAAAAUAGUGAGUAUCAAAAAUCAUGUGAGUCAAAAGAAUAAGAACAAUGGUAUUUAUAGAAUAAAUUGAAUAUAGAAAAAAAUUGAUAUCAAAUUAAUUUGGAUCCUAAUCAAUAAAUAGAAUAAUUAUAGGCUUUAUUAAAGGUAAUAUAUCAAUUAAGUCAUUUCAAGUUUCAAUGUACAGGUUCCACAAACAAUAACAAGAAGAAACCCUAAUAUCUCUCAUUUCAUUGUACGCAACUAAGAGAAUUAGAAGAAAAAUCAUUUAGAUUGGGAAAGAGAAUUCUAGGAAGGAGUAACGUAAUUGAUUUUCACAACUAUCAAUGUCAAAUUUGGUAAGUUCUAUUACAUGUCUAAUCUGAAGUUCGUAACAAUUAAAAAUGAAAGAUAUAUAUAGAUGUGCGUAUCUUCUAAUUUCUUAAUCGCUUCAACAUUGAUUACCAUAAUGAUUUUUAAUUUGAUUUUAAGUGUAAAUUGAAUCAAUAUCAUGAAAUAAAACUUGUGAUGAAAUAAAUUAUGCCCCAACAAAAAUAUGAAAAACGAAUUAAAAGGGGUUGUAGAAAAUACAAUUCCAUUAUAAUGGAAAAUUAUGAAUUCAAAUUUACAUGAUAUAGAAAGUUUUACAAACACUAUUAUUUUGUUAAUACUGUUGGAAUAUCAUUUCGAUUAUGAAUCCACCAUACAAACCCUCAUGUUAUGCACAAACUGCUUUUUACCAUACAAUUACAUACAAAUAACUAAUAUUUAACAUGAUAUUUUAAGACAUUUUUUUCAAUAUAUAAGAGCAUGUGGGCUUUUCAUUAAUACAUUUACUGUUGUAUAAUGAGUUGAAUAAGCUUAUGAAUAACUUUAUAGUGAGGUAGAUUCAUAACCAUUUUAAACAUAUCUUUUACGGUUCUUUAUUAUUAUUAUUAUUAUUAUUAUUAUUAUUUUUAAGAACAAAUAUAAGUAUUUUGUUUUAGUGUUAGUCUAUACUAUGUAUUUUAGGUCCAUCCAUGUUUGAUUAGGAAUCACUCGUGAUCUUUAAUUACCUUUUAAAAUAUAUAAAUUUAUAAAACUAGUAUAGGAUUUUUAUUAAUAUGACAUGUGAGUUCAUUUGUAACCAGGAACUACUGAAUUACUAACCAAAUAUAACAUUAUAUUUUACCACUUUUAGGGUACCAACUUUUAUAUACCUGAAAAUUAUAAGGCUUAAAUUUGAAAUUUCUCAUGAAAUAGUGCAGGAGAACUAACAAAUUUAGACCAAUAAUUUUUCAAGAUUAUAACAAACACGAUCAGUAACAAAAACAAUUUAAUCUAGUGCCUCGAAUAAAUAUAAUGAAUAAUCCCUAAAUAAUUAACUUAUUAAAUAAUAGAAUACUUACUCUAAUUUAUAUCAAUAGACAUUUUCAGCAUGUUAUAUAGACGAAGAGAAUAUCUUCAUGACUGAGUAUAACCUCUAGAUCAAACAAUUCUUUGAAAUGAUACAUAAAUUGUUACAAACCAAGUAUGUUAAACCACUCGUUAAUAGGUCACCUAGUAAGACAUAGUAUGCCAUUUUAAGUUACAUGUCAUAGAGACCCAAGUUCGAAUCUAAAGAGAUGCUAAGGGAUGUCGAGGUGUAUGGUGUGUGAUGCAGUGCUGUCGAUGGGCAAGUUCUUUCAAUUUGAGUCAUAAUUUAGGGAUCCACAAAAACAUAAAACUAUUCAUGUUGCUCAUAACUAAAAUAUCUUAUAUGGUUACAAUCAUUGUAGUAGAAAGGAUGUAUUGUACCUAUUCAUUUGAUGAUUACCUUGAUACAUUGAAGUUAGAAAGAUUUAUCUCAUUGGAACAUUCAUUUAUUUUUUUCAAGGCAUAUAACAUCUUUUCUUUUACUGUAGAGUCAUUUCACAACUCUAAUAAUACAUGAAUUCUAUUUUUCUAGGAAGUAUAAAUAUAUGUCAUAAAGCAUUAUGAAGAAUUGAAACCUAUUAAGGAACUUUUACAUAAACACACACUUGAAUUCAUCAAUUAGUGCCACGAUCAAGGUUAUAAUUCAAUCCCACUCACCGGUUUCCUCCAUCUUCCUUGAUUAGCUUUAUAAUGAAUAUGGUAAAUAAUUUUUGUUUGUAUGAGUCCAUGACAAUCCAAGGAUUCUAAUUUCCAAAUGGUGCCUGUUGUGUAUCAUUGCUUUUUUAGAAAGUAUAAUAUCCACCCCAUUUUUAUGGUUAUAAUUCUUAUUAUAUUUCAAAUAAAUUCUUGUCAUAUGUUUUGGAAAAUAUAUUGUGUUAGAUCCCUUGGUACUAAAAGUUCAUCGUUGCUCAAAGGUUGUAAACCAUACAUUAACUAAGUUUAGAUAGUCCUGCUAGAAUAAAUUGAAAUCUCUAAAUUAUGACUAAUGGAUGAUUUAACCAUUUGUGCUUUAUCAUCAUGUUCUUCGUUAUUCAAAGUUUGGUCCUAAAAAUAGCGUAUGUAUUUCAUAGAUGGAAUUUUUUUAUGAAAUCAUGAUAAAACAAUUUCAAGUAUCAUUAACAGGCAUAAAUUUAGUGUAGGUUUCAGAAUUUUGAUACUUAUUAUGGUUAUAGUAGCUGCUGUUCAUCUAGACAUAAUUGUUUAUAUAUACACAAAUUAAAUUAUUGUUGCCCCAUUUAUGGUCAAGUUUUAGGAAAUUGAAAGAGUGUGGUUUCUUUCAAUCAUGAAUCCCUUAAUAUGUCUAUUAGUGUAUAAGCAAAGUCCUUGCCUUUGCUACUAGUACACACAUGUAAUAGUGAAAUAUACAAGCAACCAUAAGCUGCAAUAAGCUUAUUUGACAAUCUAAAAUUUCCUACAUCAUAAAGUCAUCAUAUAGUAACAAUAAUACGAUCAUCAUAUUGUUAAAGAAACAUGUGAAGAAUAACAAUAUAUAACUAUAAAUAAUAUUGACUUAUACAUUUGACUUGUACCCACCAUACUUUUGGGUGAACUUACCAUGGGUCACUAGAUAAUCACCCGUUUUAGCUUGCAUUUUUGGAUCACUAUAUUGUGUUGGUAACCCGUCUACUUUAUAUCAGUACCCUCAGAUCAUGAUGUAAUGUCAAGUGGACCUCUUACCAUACGAGAUACCCAUGGAUAACUAGGUAGUCCCACAUGGAAACAAUUUUCAAGAUAAAAAUCAUAAUCACCAUAAAAAUAGCUAUGUUUACUCACCUUGACAUUUCAUGGUUGAAAAAUUCCUAACUCCUUGUAUUUAUUUACUUCCAAUAGCUGAGAAACUUGUGUUUUACCAUCCAUGGCUUUCUAUUGUCAACAUAUACCACUUUAAUUCAUUAAAUAGCAUCAAACAAGUAUGAGUUAUAUAAAUCCACAAAUCUGCUUAAUAUUUAUUAUAUUUUAGUUUAAUUUUAGUGUUCUUCACUUCAAUUGACACAAUAAAAACAAACCAUCAUACAAGCUCUAAUUUUACUAUCACCACAAGUAGAUACCAAACAUAUCUUCUGCCACCGUCAUGAAUCUACAUAUAAUUACGGAAUAAACAAAAUACUUUUUACCUCUUAUUUGAUAGCCAAACAUGUAGUAAUAAAAUCUACUUACUAAAUUUCAUCAUUAAGUACUCUUUCCUCAUGAUUGGCAAACCCUUUUCCUUUACCCUAAUUCGAAGGAUAGAGAAUGAAGAGUGUUUACCAUUUUGAUCAUGGAUAAAAGUUAUUGAUAAUUGUUGAUGAAAGACUAAUCAAUGUUUCUUUCCUGUGUUCUAUUCCUAAGCAAUGCCCACGACUCCAAGAUUGGUAUCGGUUUGGACAAUAUCAAUAGAAAAUAAAUGCCCAAAAGAUAACAGGCUGCUUCUCUCAAGAGUCAAGACUACAAGCGAUAUAUAUAAGAUUUCUGGUCAUUUACCCUAGGCGUGCCAAACAUAUCUUCUGCCGCCGUCAGAUCACUCACCUGACUGUCUGCUGAAACGCUGCUAUCCGAUUUUUAUUUCUAUGUUCCAUCUCUGCAGCUCUCCAUCGUCUUGUCGAUUAUAGAACGUUUUACCUUCUAUCGUUGAUGAUUGCUAUUUUUAUCGCCGGCUCUCCGUAUGUUUACACCCAAGCGCCAAAGAAGAGGAACAAAUAAAUAGCAAUUAUAAGUUGGAGAUUCUUCUGGAAGAUCAAAUUAAACUCACCGGAUAAUCA
RNAcentral lists this long non-coding RNA (17135 nucleotides) under Lactuca sativa (garden lettuce). RNAcentral describes it as "long non-coding RNA (LSAT_LNC005455)". Lineage: Eukaryota; Viridiplantae; Streptophyta; Magnoliopsida; Asterales; Asteraceae. The record is from RNAcentral.